GAGAUAGAGGCGCGGGGUUCAUCAGUACCGCUCCGGCAAGGACAGGCAGCCGCCGGGGCGCGAAAGGGAACACCGCCGAAGCGUGGGAACGCGGCCUGGCUGUUCCAUGCUGGGCCGGCAGAAAACAUCUGCCGGACUGUCACAGAGUUUUUUGUGAAGCGCUAUCA
Molecule: non-coding RNA, 167 nt
Filed under: human gut metagenome
Description: Lysine riboswitch
Rfam family: Lysine riboswitch aptamer
About the family: Riboswitches are metabolite binding domains within certain messenger RNAs that serve as precision sensors for their corresponding targets. Allosteric rearrangement of mRNA structure is mediated by ligand binding, and this results in modulation of gene expression. This family includes riboswitches that sense lysine in a number of genes involved in lysine metabolism, including lysC.
Source: RNAcentral